RNAcentral lists this ribosomal RNA (253 nucleotides) under uncultured bacterium. RNAcentral describes it as "partial 16S ribosomal RNA". It matches the Rfam family "Bacterial small subunit ribosomal RNA", at positions 524 to 776 of the family's 1533-position model. The record is from RNAcentral.
UACGGGGGGGGCAAGCGUUGUUCGGAAUUACUGGGCGUAAAGGGCUCGUAGGCGGCCAACUAAGUCAGACGUGAAAUCCCUCGGCUUAACCGGGGAACUGCGUCUGAUACUGGAUGGCUUGAGGUUGGGAGAGGGAUGCGGAAUUCCAGGUGUAGCGGUGAAAUGCGUAGAUAUCUGGAGGAAUACCGAUGGCGAAGGCAGCCCCCUGGGCCAAUACUGACGCUCAUGCACGAAAGCGUGGGGAGCAAACAGG